RNAcentral lists this ribosomal RNA (900 nucleotides) under uncultured Klebsiella sp. Its description in RNAcentral is "bacterial SSU rRNA". It matches the Rfam family "Bacterial small subunit ribosomal RNA", at positions 543 to 1444 of the family's 1533-position model. Lineage: Bacteria; Pseudomonadati; Pseudomonadota; Gammaproteobacteria; Enterobacterales; Enterobacteriaceae. The record is from RNAcentral.
AAUCGGAAUUACUGGGCGUAAAGCGCACGCAGGCGGUCUGUCAAGUCGGAUGUGAAAUCCCCGGGCUCAACCUGGGAACUGCAUUCGAAACUGGCAGGCUGGAGUCUUGUAGAGGGGGGUAGAAUUCCAGGUGUAGCGGUGAAAUGCGUAGAGAUCUGGAGGAAUACCGGUGGCGAAGGCGGCCCCCUGGACAAAGACUGACGCUCAGGUGCGAAAGCGUGGGGAGCAACAGGAUUAGAUACCCUGGUAGUCCACGCUGUAAACGAUGUCGACUUGGAGGUUGUUCCCUUGAGGAGUGGCUUCCGGAGCUAACGCGUUAAGUCGACCGCCUGGGGAGUACGGCCGCAAGGUUAAAACUCAAAUGAAUUGACGGGGGCCCGCACAAGCGGUGGAGCAUGUGGUUUAAUUCGAUGCAACGCGAAGAACCUUACCUACUCUUGACAUCCAGAGAACUUAGCAGAGAUGCUUUGGUGCCUUCGGGAACUCUGAGACAGGUGCUGCAUGGCUGUCGUCAGCUCGUGUUGUGAAAUGUUGGGUUAAGUCCCGCAACGAGCGCAACCCUUAUCCUUUGUUGCCAGCGAUUCGGUCGGGAACUCAAAGGAGACUGCCAGUGAUAAACUGGAGGAAGGUGGGGAUGACGUCAAGUCAUCAUGGCCCUUACGAGUAGGGCUACACACGUGCUACAAUGGCAUAUACAAAGAGAAGCGACCUCGCGAGAGCAAGCGGACCUCAUAAAGUAUGUCGUAGUCCGGAUUGGAGUCUGCAACUCGACUCCAUGAAGUCGGAAUCGCUAGUAAUCGUGGAUCAGAAUGCCACGGUGAAUACGUUCCCGGGCCUUGUACACACCGCCCGUCACACCAUGGGAGUGGGUUGCAAAAGAAGUAGGUAGCUUAACCUUCG